Molecule: microRNA, 21 nt
Filed under: Monodelphis domestica (gray short-tailed opossum)
Lineage: Eukaryota; Metazoa; Chordata; Mammalia; Didelphimorphia; Didelphidae
Description: mdo-miR-7300-5p
Source: miRBase by way of RNAcentral
GACUCCAAUAUCCUAAGGAUA